RNAcentral lists this ribosomal RNA (449 nucleotides) under uncultured bacterium. Its description in RNAcentral is "partial 16S ribosomal RNA". It matches the Rfam family "Bacterial small subunit ribosomal RNA", at positions 29 to 523 of the family's 1533-position model. The record is from RNAcentral.
AACGAACGCUGGCGGCAUGCCUAACACAUGCAAGUCGAACGAGAUCUUCGGGUCUAGUGGCGCACGGGUGCGUAACGCGUGGGAAUCUGCCCUUUGGUUCGGAAUAACAGUUGGAACCGACUGCUAAUACCGGAUGAUGACGAAAGUCCAAAGAUUUAUCGCCAGAGGAUGAGCCCGCGUAGGAUUAGCUAGUUGGUGUGGGAAAGGCGUACCAAGGCGACGAUCCUUAGCUGGUCUGAGAGGAUGAUCAGCCACACUGGGACUGAGACACGGCCCAGACUCCUACGGGAGGCAGCAGUGGGGAAUAUUGGACAAUGGGCGAAAGCCUGAUCCAGCAAUGCCGCGUGAGUGAUGAAGGCCUUAGGGUUGUAAAGCUCUUUUACCCGGGGUGAUAAUGACAGUACCGGGAGAAUAAGCUCCGGCUAACUCCGUGCCAGCAGCCGCGGUAA